This 468-nucleotide ribosomal RNA is filed under the name uncultured bacterium. Its description in RNAcentral is "partial 16S ribosomal RNA". It matches the Rfam family "Bacterial small subunit ribosomal RNA", at positions 28 to 507 of the family's 1533-position model. The record is from RNAcentral.
GACGAACGCUGGCGGCGUGCUUAACACAUGCAAGUCGAACGGAAAGGCCCUGCUUUUGUGGGGUGCUCGAGUGGCGAACGGGUGAGUAACACGUGAGUAACAUGCCCUUGACUUUGGGAUAACUUCAGGAAACUGGGGCUAAUACCGGAUAGGAGCUCCUGCUGCAUAGGGGGGGUUGGAAAGUUUCGGCGGUUGGGGCUAGACUCGCGGCUUAUCAGCUUGUUGGUGGGGUAGUGGCAUACCAAGGGUUUGACGGGUAGCCGGCCUGAGAGGGUGACCGGCCACAUUGGGACUGAGAGACGGCCCAGACUGCUACGGGAGGCAGCAGUGGGGAAUAUGGCACAAUGGGCGGAAGCCUGAUGCAGCAACGCCGCGUGCGGGAUGCCGUCCUUCGGGUUGUAAACCGCUUUCGCCUGUGACGAAGCGUGAGUGACGGUAAUGGGUAAAGAAGCACCGGCUAACUACGUG